GUAGGUGGCAAGCGUUGUCCGGAAUUAUUGGGGCGUAAAGCGCGCGCGGCGGUUCUUUAAGUCUGAUGUGAAAGCCCACGGGCUCAACCGUGGAGGGUCAUUGGAAACUGGAGAACUUGAGUACAGAAGAGGAAAGCGGAAUUCCACGUGUAGCGGUGAAAUGCGUAGAGAUGUGGAGGAACACCAGUGGCGAAGGCGGCUUUCUGGUCUGUAACUGACGCUGAGGCGCGAAAGCGUGGGGAGCAAACAGGAUUAGAUACCCUGGUAGUCCACGCCGUAAACGAUGAGUGCUAAGUGUUAGGGGGUUUCCGCCCCUUAGUGCUGCAGCUAACGCAUUAAGCACUCCGCCUGGGGAGUACGGCCGCAAAGGCUGA
RNAcentral lists this ribosomal RNA (374 nucleotides) under uncultured organism. RNAcentral's name for it is "partial 16S ribosomal RNA". It matches the Rfam family "Bacterial small subunit ribosomal RNA", at positions 527 to 897 of the family's 1533-position model. The record is from RNAcentral.